AUACGUAGGGGGCGAGCGUUGACCGGAAUGAUUGGGCGUAAAGGGCGCGUAGGCGGCCCGGUAAGUCUGGAGUGAAAGUCAUGUUUUUAAGAUGGGAAUUGCUUUGGAUACUGUCGGGCUUGAGUGCCGGAGAGGUAAGUUGAAUUCCUAGUGUAGCGGUGAAAUGCGUAGAGAUUGGGAGGAACACCAGUGGCGAAGGCGACUUACUGGACUGUAACUGACGCUGAGGCGCGAAAGUGUGGGGAGCAAACAGGAUUAGAUACCCUGGUAGUCCACACUGUAAACGAUGAAUGCUAGGUGUAGGGGGUAUCGACCCCUUCUGUGCCGCAGUCAACACAAUAAGCAUUCCGCCUGGGGAGUACGGCCGCAAGGUUGAAACUUAAAGGAAUGGACGGGG
Molecule: ribosomal RNA, 397 nt
Filed under: uncultured bacterium
Lineage: Bacteria
Description: partial 16S ribosomal RNA
Rfam family: Bacterial small subunit ribosomal RNA
Source: RNAcentral